AGGACGAACGCUGGCGGCGUGCCUAACACAUGCAAGUCGAACGAGAUCCAACCGGUAGCAAUACCGGUGAAGAUCAAGUGGCGAACGGGUGAGUAGCACGUGAGCAACCUGCCCCGAAGACCGGGACAACACCGGGAAACCGGUGCUAAUACCGGAUAUCCCCACUGAGUCGCAUGGCUCGGUGAGGAAAUGGAUUCCGCUUCGGGAGGGGCUCGCGGCCUAUCAGCUUGUUGGUGAGGUAACGGCUCACCAAGGCUUCGACGGGUAGCUGGUCUGAGAGGACGAUCAGCCACACUGGGACUGAGACACGGCCCAGACUCCUACGGGAGGCAGCAGUGGGGAAUCUUGCACAAUGGGCGAAAGCCUGAUGCAGCAACGCCGCGUGAGGGACGAAGGCUUUCUGAGUUGUAAACCUCUUUCAGCAGGGACGAUUGUGACGGUACCUGCAGAAGAGCCCCGGCAACUACGUGCCAGCAGCCGCGGUAA
This 486-nucleotide ribosomal RNA is filed under the name uncultured bacterium. RNAcentral describes it as "SSU rRNA". It matches the Rfam family "Bacterial small subunit ribosomal RNA", at positions 26 to 523 of the family's 1533-position model. The record is from RNAcentral.